GCAUAAUCAUUUGCCGUUUAAUUGAUGGCUGGAAUGAAUGAAUAUACGUAAGCUCAACUGUCUCCUUUUUACCUAUAAAAAUUGACCCCCAAGUGAAGAGACUUGGAUUGACCAAAAAGACGAAAAGACCCUAUAGAGCUUCACCUGACCUUCACUCGUCCAAGAGAAGGUUUAGUUGGGGCAACUAGAGAGUACCUAAAACCUCUCUUCCAAAAAACCUAUUUAGAUCCGUUACACGACCAGCAGAGAAAGCUACCUUAGGGAUAACAGGCUAAUCCUCUUUGAGAGACCAUAUUGACAAGAGGGG
This 307-nucleotide ribosomal RNA is filed under the name Boccardia proboscidea. RNAcentral's name for it is "partial 16S ribosomal RNA". It matches the Rfam family "Bacterial large subunit ribosomal RNA", at positions 1959 to 2517 of the family's 2925-position model. Lineage: Eukaryota; Metazoa; Annelida; Polychaeta; Spionida; Spionidae. The record is from RNAcentral.